RNAcentral lists this ribosomal RNA (279 nucleotides) under uncultured bacterium. Its description in RNAcentral is "partial 16S ribosomal RNA". It matches the Rfam family "Bacterial small subunit ribosomal RNA", at positions 506 to 784 of the family's 1533-position model. The record is from RNAcentral.
UGCCAGCCGCCGCGGUAAUACGAAAAAUGCAAGCAUUAAUCGGAAUUACUGAGCGUAAAGCGCGCGUAGGCGGCUGUUUAAGUCGGAUGUGAAAGCCCCGGGCUCAACCUGGGAACUGCAUUCGAUACUGGACAGCUAGAGUAUGGGAGAGGGUUGUGGAAUUCCACGUGUAACGGUGAAAUGCGUAGAUAUGUGGAGGAACAUCAGUGGCGAAGGCGGCAGCCUGGCCCAAUACUGACGCUGAGGUGCGAAAGCGUGAGGAGCAAACAGGAUUAGAUA